AGGCAUAGUUCAGUGGUAGAACAUUACCUUGCCAAGGUAAAUAUACGGGUUCGAUUCCCGUUGCCUG
RNAcentral lists this transfer RNA (67 nucleotides) under human gut metagenome. It matches the Rfam family "tRNA". From Rfam's summary of the family: Transfer RNA (tRNA) molecules are approximately 80 nucleotides in length. Their secondary structure includes four short double-helical elements and three loops (D, anti-codon, and T loops). Further hydrogen bonds mediate the characteristic L-shaped molecular structure. tRNAs have two regions of fundamental functional importance: the anti-codon, which is responsible for specific mRNA codon recognition, and the 3' end, to which the tRNAs corresponding amino acid is attached (by aminoacyl-tRNA synthetases). tRNAs cope with the degeneracy of the genetic code in two manners: having more than one tRNA (with a specific anti-codon) for a particular amino acid; and 'wobble' base-pairing, i.e. permitting non-standard base-pairing at the 3rd anti-codon position. The record is from RNAcentral. RNAcentral also lists the same sequence under 1 other name.